GAACAGAGAGAAUCACUCUCUCUUAUUUAUUCUUCCUUCUUUCUUCCUCUUUUCUGUUUCUCUUCUUCUUCUGUCUGUCGAAUUUCUUAUCGAUGAAGUGAGUGUGUUUUGAUGUGAGUGAUUUGUAGAAGUGUGUUAAGUUGAUGAAUCGAAGGGGUAAGUGAUGAACUGUGGUUGAUUGAACCGGAAAAAGAUAAUCGAUGUUACUGUAAGAUUGAAUCUAGAGUUUCUUUGUGAAAGAAGUAAAUGAAUCAGAGAACUUAGGAGUUGGGUUGGAUCGAUUGAAGGCUACGGUAAGCUCAAACAAAGAGGAAGAUGUUUUGGUAGGUGAUUCUGUGAGAAUUAGGGUUUGAAAGAAAUUCGAGAAAAGUGUUAGAAGAUGGAAUUAGAGUCGCAGGUGAAUGAUUAGAAAUGGGUGUGGUUUGAAUUAGAAAUUAUGGUGGAAGCUAAACUGACAUUACCGAGUUGUCCUGUGAAGCUUCAAUGAAUUAGGGUUUCUGCUAGUUUGAGAUUUAAAUUGAUGAUGAACCAAGAGAAAUUGGAAGAGGCUGUUAAUUGGGUAAGUAUCCAUGUUGUUUAAUUUCAGUGUUCGAAGUUUAAUUUUUGGUUCCUCAGGAAUUCAAAUUUUUCAUGUGUUCUUCCUCAAUAUAGAAAUUAGGGUUAGUGGAUUUGAAUUGAACUAAUUGUUGAUUUGUGUUUGGGAAGGUGGAUUUCAGAUUGUGAUGAAGAUGUUAAAUGUUUGUUUUGUGUGUGUUUGUGUUGUAUGUAUCUUGAUUUGGAAGUUGUGUCUGGAGAACUGAAAUUACAGGGUGAGAUAUUGUAAUGGUGGAUGUCGAUGAAUGCUUAGAAUUUUACAGAGUUUGACUAACUCAGUUGGCGGAAGUAGAUUGAGCCUGAUGGUAAUGCAGCUGAGCUGAUAAGAAUGCAUUGUUAAGUUCAUGUUCGAUUUAAUGUUUGAGAUGAGUAUAGAAUGGAACCGUGAUUGUUGUUAUGAAAAUGGUGUUGAAUAGUGAACCAUUGCUGCAGGGUAUGGUUGAAUUCUCAGAGGUGAUUGUACUGAGUUAUAAGUUUUGUAGUGGUGUUGUUUAAUGCUUAAUGAGAGUCUGUAGAAUCAGUAGGUUGUAUUGGAGAUAGUCUGCUGGUGCAUAUGAGAUUUAAUGUAUGGGUGUAGGAACUGGGAGUGCUGUGGUUUGGUAAUGAUUAUGAUGUUGCUACUGGGAUUCAAAUUGAGGGUGCAGAUUUGCCUGAACUGGUAGAAUGCGAGCUAUUAAUUUAGGAGAAGGUUUAAGAAGAUGACGGUGUUGUUUUUGAAGAAUGGUACUGUGUUUGGUGUAUGUGAAUUUGUGUUGAGUUGGGAAUGUAGAAAUUAUUGUGGAAGUGGUAGUUGUAGAAUCACUUAUGGUAGCCUCUUUGAAGCCUGAUGCUACUGCAUUUGCAGUUAGUCUAUUAACAACGAUCGAUUCAAAGGAAGAACCCGUGGAUCGUGGAUCUCGUGGUAGGCGUGGCUUGUCAUCAAAAGAGUUUCAGAGACAGAUCAGAGUUGCGCAGCGAAAGUUUCAAUAGAUGGAUAACUUCUACUAUGUUUAUUAUAUUGUUUAUUGUAUCUGUAAACCUAAUGACUAAUGUAUAUGUAUCAUUUGAGAGAACUUCUUGUAUAUAUAUGUUUCAAAGCGGGUUAGUUUGAGGUUAAGUUUUGUAGCACAUUUUUUAGUUGAAUGCUUAAAUAUUUGAUUUAGGUUUCUAGUGCCUCUAUUUUUAGUUAAUCUCUU
Molecule: long non-coding RNA, 1769 nt
Organism: Papaver somniferum (opium poppy)
Lineage: Eukaryota; Viridiplantae; Streptophyta; Magnoliopsida; Ranunculales; Papaveraceae
Exons: 3
Source: RefSeq, a predicted model, not a curated record